Molecule: long non-coding RNA, 860 nt
Filed under: Marmota monax (woodchuck)
Lineage: Eukaryota; Metazoa; Chordata; Mammalia; Rodentia; Sciuridae
Source: RNAcentral
GCAACACUGGGCCCAUGCAGUGGGAAACUGCACCCUGACCAUUUUGCAGAUGAGUAAAGUGGGGUUGGCCGAGGUUCAGUCACUGGCCCAAGAUCAUGGAGUAAGUGGUGGGACUGAGGGCUGCAGCCGGCCUCUUCACCUCCGCCUCUGUCCUGCCCCCGGCCUGGCGUGUUCAAGCAGUCGUUCAACAGUAGCUCUCAUUAUUAGUAACAUUUAACCUUUCUAUUGCUUUGAAUUUUUUCAUCUCUUUUAAGUAAUGCUUUAUUAUAUACUUUUGGGCAUUUUGGGCUUUUCUCUGCUUUCAGAUUAUGUCCUUUGGAUAGUGUCCCAAGAGUGGAAUUAACUGGGAGAACUGGGGCCCAGGGAGCUGAGGUGACUUGCCUAAGGGCAGGCACAUGUAAGCAGUGGUGGUUGAAGCAGGGCUGCCCUGUAUAGUUGUAUAGGUUGUUCACAUCACAAGGGCAGCGGGCUUCCCAAAGGAGGCCCACUAGGAAGUCAGCCUUGGUCAGGGUUUGGAAAGCUAGGAGGAAUGAAGGAGAUGGAUGUGAGGGGACUCCAUGGGAAACCUAUCUCACAAAUAAAUGCUAAGCUCCUACUGAAUACAGGUGGCCUUCCACUGUGGAUACAACAGUGGAUCAGCCCAUCUGAUCCCUGCUCUCAUGGAAUGGAUACUUUCUCACAUGUGUGGGGAAGACAGUUGAUGAAUAAAGAAAUUGAGUAAAACAAUAAUGGAUUGAAAUAAAUAUCAGGAAAAAAACCAAACAGAUGCUUGAGUCUGUCCCGUCCGGCAGGACACAUCAACGUGGGCAGCGAACCUAGAUGGGGAGGAAUGAAGGGACAAGAGACACAGAAGGAUGACA